RNAcentral lists this ribosomal RNA (79 nucleotides) under Lysinibacillus sphaericus. Its description in RNAcentral is "partial 23S ribosomal RNA". The record is from RNAcentral. Lineage: Bacteria; Bacillati; Bacillota; Bacilli; Caryophanales; Bacillaceae.
UGAGGUAGAUAGGUUCGAGGUGGAAGUGUGGUGACACAUGGAGCUGACGAAUACUAAUCGAUCGAGGACUUAACCAAAA